CAACAAUCGACUUGCACAAUAUUUUUACUUUGUCAACAAAGAUGACACACAGAGAAUAAAAAUUCGUCGACGAAGUCUACAACAUUCUUCACUGAUCUGAACCCUUCUGCAAUUUUUGCUUACUCUUCAAGAGUUCUUUUGUUUCAGUCGUUUAUUCUUGGAGUAAUUAUGCUUGAUUUUGUUUGUUCUAACUUUUUCGCAUGCCUUUCCAUCUUCUAGAACGACCUUUCCAUCAUUUUCUUUGUGCUUUUCUAUUUACGCUGCAAGCUUUGCUUCUGGCAGUAAGAGUUUUAAAAUUUCAUGUAAUUGAUUGCCAGAUGUCGCGCGCAAUGAUUUCGAUAUAAUAUGAUUAUUAUAAUGUUUAUGCAGAAAGUUUGUAUGAAAGGAAGACAUUUAACACAAUUACCCUAACUACAGAUUAUCAUCAAACAAAGAUUUAUGCUAAAAAAAUACACUUGAUUUGCAAUUAACUCAACGCUUGUCUCAAGGGCUUUCGCGCAGAUGCAGUUAGCGACUUACUAUAAUUGUAGUUGUAGUAAAAUAUAAAUGAGAUGUAUUCUACUGAUCCCCAAAAUGUUUUAAUAAAUCAUAUUUGUUGUCUCUUCUA
Xenia sp. Carnegie-2017 is the source of this 607-nucleotide long non-coding RNA. RefSeq lists it as uncharacterized. The transcript is spliced from 2 exons. NCBI's taxonomy places the organism in Eukaryota, Metazoa, Cnidaria, Anthozoa, Malacalcyonacea, Xeniidae. The record is from RefSeq and is a predicted model, not a curated record.